GGAGGGGGGCUAGCGUUGUUCGGAUUUACUGGGGCGUAAAGCGCGCGUAGGCGGGCUGGUUAGUUGGGGGGUGAAAUCCCGAGGGCUCAACCUCGGGAACUGCCCUCAAUACUGCCAGUCUUGAGUUCGAGAGAGGUGAGUGGAAUUCCUAGUGUAGAGGUGAAAUUCGUAGAUAUUAGGAAGAACACCAGUGGCGAAGGCGGCUCACUGGCUCGAUACUGACGCUGAGGCGCGAAAGCGUGGGGAGCAAACAGGAUUAGAUACCCUGGUAGUCCACGCCGUAAACGAUGGGUGCUAGUUGUCAGGCAGCUUGCUGUUUGGUGACGCAGCUAACGCGUUAAGCACCCCGCCUGGGGACUACGGUCGCAAGACUA
This 374-nucleotide ribosomal RNA is filed under the name uncultured organism. Its description in RNAcentral is "partial 16S ribosomal RNA". It matches the Rfam family "Bacterial small subunit ribosomal RNA", at positions 526 to 896 of the family's 1533-position model. The record is from RNAcentral.